Long non-coding RNA from Astatotilapia calliptera (eastern happy), 1211 nucleotides. The record is from Ensembl. Lineage: Eukaryota; Metazoa; Chordata; Actinopteri; Cichliformes; Cichlidae.
UCAUUGCUGCUCUUAGGAAAGUCCAUCUUGAACUGCUGUUUCCAUAGCUUGUCCAGUGUGACAGCAGAAACUCCGUUGGCAGUAACUGUUGCCAAACAUCCUGGCCUUCCACAGCAUUCUCGAUUAAGUGGCCCAUUCACUGUCUAGCCAAGCACAGUCCUAAUGGCAAAAGGUCCAUCACCUACACUCCGGAUGACCUCCAAAGGUUUUAGAGCUCUGGGCAUAUUCAUGCCAAUCACAGGCUCCACACUGGCCUUAAUUUCUGGCAAAUGAACAUGCCUCAAUUAUGGCCAGUCAUCCAGGUCCUGUUGAUUUGGGAUGUUACCAAUAUCUACAGGCAUUUUAUGUUGAGUGAAGAGGUUAGGCAUAUCACAGUAGAUGUCACUGUCCAAUCCAGCAACUUCAAGUUCAGGUACAAUGAAACUCCACCUCUUUCUCCUGUCCCAUGGUGCGUAGGAGAAUCUUUGUCUUCCUCCCAGCAUGAUUCAACUUGUCUGUAUAAAACCCCUGUGAUUUGUGUAUAUCAGGGGUAGGCAACCUUUUUCCGUCAACAACCUCCAUUUUAUACCCACCUACAUACACGUUACUGGACAGAUGCUACAUGCAGUAAAUUUUGGCCCACUUGGGGUUUUUUCAUUGCAACGUCUGAUUGGUUGAAGUGACGUGAACGUGACAUCAUUACUGUGAUUCUAUUGGCUCAAACGAUUAAAAAGAGGUGUCAAUCAUGCAAAUUGACCAAAAGAAACCAAAGUUACAACCCCUCAGAGUUUAAAGGCCCACAGGCCAAUUAAAUGCUCCAUGCCCACGGCAGAAAAGGGCCGUGUGUAUGGAAAAGGGUCAUAUGCUAAAAAAAAAAAAAUAAAAAAUGGGCGAGGAUAAAAUCGACUCACUUUUUCUGUGUUCCAGUCUCAGUAACUUUGACACAAUAACAUCUGCUUCAAUAUUAACACCUCAGCUGAAAUUUCACAAAUGUUAGCUUUAUUUUGAAGCCAAGAUUGUAAGGACAGAGUUUGUAAUUGCAGAGAAAUAAUCAAUUAGAUUUGGGCAUUACAGUUUCGAGCAGCUCAGAAACCCCCUUGGGUCUUAACCCUCCACUGCAUAGCGUUGCCCUGAGGCAACAAACCACAUUUUCAUGCCUUACGGUGGCCCUUCAAAAAAAACAACUUUUUUUUUCAAACAAUGCUACCAGGCACAUCUCUUUCCAAUAAAAU